This is a long non-coding RNA of Thunnus maccoyii (southern bluefin tuna), 2748 nucleotides long. RefSeq lists it as uncharacterized. The transcript is spliced from 5 exons. Lineage: Eukaryota; Metazoa; Chordata; Actinopteri; Scombriformes; Scombridae. The record is from RefSeq and is a predicted model, not a curated record.
AGAGAUAUAUAUCGGAUAGAACAAAGUCCUGUCAAAACAACUUUACAGACAUUUCCAGUGUGAUAUUGUUUCCCCUCCUCUCACCCCAGUAUACUCCACAGCCAUUUCCCCCCGACCUGUACGUACCUGCGGGGCGGGCAGACAGACUCUGCGCAUGCCCUCCGAGCCUGAGUGCAGGCCGGGAUACUUGGGCUCGUGCAGGGCCGGGUGCAUGGAGAAAUGCUGCUUGCCGUUCAUGGUCAUCAUCCUCCUCCCUGCAAGCACCUCGCAAGCAGUGUGGCCCCUGACAUGAAAGCCGGGGAGCGGACAGCUACAGAGCUCCUCUGCUCUCCUUCAACAGACUGAGCUGUUAACAUCGGCAGCGCCUCCCGGCAUCCCUCUCUCCCUCUUCCUCCCCUCCUCCUCCUCCUCCUUCCCUCCCACCUGCUCCUCUGCUCAACUUACAAGUUGAAAAAUGUUGUCCUCUGUGCGCAAGCGUCGAAUAAUAAACUCAACCAAUAUCACUAUAAUAUUCUAUAUUCUAGUGACGUAGUGCCUGUUUUAUAUAGAGUACUUAAUAGAGUAGAGUACUGUUAAUAAUCAUAACAGUCUUCGUUGCCUGUAUUAUCACUGCUCCUAAAAAGAAUGGAGUUUGAUUUGAACUCAUUCACAAGUUUACGCACAUAUCGUUUCACCAUUGUUACCUCAGCAUAUAUUAAAUAUGUCAUUAGAGGGCUACUAGGCGUUGUAUAAGUGUUAAAAAGCAUAAAACAUGACAGUACUCACUAUAAAACCAUGGAUUCCUCCACAAGUGUUCCCAGUCAUGUCAGCACCAUGGACAGCGCAGCACCACAGCGCUUUAAAUGCAGGUUGCUCAUGCGCUGUCCAUGGUGCUGAAACCUAUAAGAGCGGAUUGAUAGAUUCAAUAAAAGAUAAAACACACUGCAGGCUAAUUGAACAAUGGUUUUGGUGUUACGUGCUUCAUAUUGUGUCUAAUGUCUGCAGGAUGCUGACCAGUUGACCUAAAGGCCUUGUCCUGGUCUCCUCCCAUGUGAACGCCCAUCCUGAGGCUGCUUUUACAGACUUCUCAUGUGGCUGCCUGGUUAAAACUCAUGAAGCUGAGGUGGACGGGCCGAAAGAGGAGCCAGGUGGGCAGAGGCGGAGUGAUGACACAGUGGGUCCAUCCGAUCCUGCCGGCCACCUCUCUGGUUCCCCAGACUCUGAAUAAUUUAGCAGCAUGGUGGCAGGCAUCCAUUACCCCCGUUGGCAUGUUCUUAUUCAUUACACAGAUUAAAACAGCCAAGGUCUUUUUCUCACCAUGUUAACCUGUUGCAGACUGGGGAGCCAAACUUUAAGACAUGCAUGUAGGCCAGCUUCUUUAAUGGGGACAGGGAAGAGAAAACACAUCUAAACUGAAUUUGAUUUGUGCAUUCUGCAUUCUUUAUAAUUUCAGUGAAAAUGAUGAGGGUAUCUUUAAAAUUGUAGGCUAAGUUUGGUUGAGAUCUUUAAUCAAAGACAGAAUGUUUUGAUUUAAUUGAGGAGUGUAAAUGUCAAAUGUUACUAUAACAGUAUCCUAUAGAAAAAGGCCAUAGACAAGAAGCUGUCAAGCAGCAUGUUAGUCUGAAUAAAGCAUGAAAUCCCUUUUCUCACCCUCUAACACCCCUCUACCCCUCGUUUUUCCUUAAUAGCAUAGCCGGGACCAUUCAUAAUUUAGUGGCCAUUGUUUACAUCUCUGUCAUCUGUUUGCUUUUCAUACCCUGAAAAUCACAUCUGACAUGUUUUUUGAAGAGCGCUGUCAUCUUUGUGGCCAGAUGUGACCGCCAGCUCUUCUCUUUUCACCCCCAUCUGGCCUCCAUACAGCUGCAACUCAACUUCAACAGAUGACCUAAGUACUAUCACGGCAUUGUGAUUCAGUAAAAGCUUAAGCAGCCUACUUUUGAUUAUAUACUGGAAAUUCCAUUCACAUAUGAGUUUGAUUUGCUCAAAAAUAAUAUUUGUCAGUUUCUCAACUAAUCUUAAAUUAAAAUAUAGGCCUGCUUACUCAUGUGUUUAGAAAUCUUUAACAGCAUAAAAAAAACAAUGUCUUACAUUUCACGUUUUUCUGUUUUCUGUCUAUGCAUAGAUGUGAGUAGACUACAAAACCUGGCUUUUAAUUGUUUGGUUAUUUCUGGUAAAUACUGAAAAUAACUCAGUGUAUGUCCCUAUCACCCUAACCCAAAACUGUUUUUAUCCUACUAAAGAAGCAAUAUUCUAACUGCUAAAAAUGCUCACACAGCAGCAGGUGAAAUGACUGACUUAUCGCAGUGUUUAAUGAUAUGUGAGGACUUCAGGCGCCAAUACAAUACAAAGUUGUAAUGGCAGGAUUGGGCUUCCAUAUAGGCCUAGCCCAGUCUCCAGGAAGGAACAAGCACUUGGUCACUAUAGGUCGCCGUCGAGGCCUCGGCUCGAAAUCCUUCCCCUGAGGACAACUGAAAGUUCUUGCUGAGACUCUUGAGUGUUUUCACUUGACUUCCUAAAGCACAAAAAAACUCACUGGCCCGUCCAUCCAGACCACUCUCCUGGGCAAGUGUGCGCGGUGAGGUUUCAUCCCUCGGUUCUUCUCAAGACGGUUUAUCAACGCCUGGAAGAAGACGGACAAGCAGUGAGAGAGAGGGAGGAGCGCAACGCAUGGACAGAGCACAGGCGCUGAACCUGUCACCUGGCUCCCCGAGCUCUGCUCCUGCUGCUGAAGCCCUGCGGUGUUCGUGCCGGGCUCGCGGUGCCAGUACA